AUCAAAUGGAGAGUUUGAUCCUGGCUCAGGAUGAACGCUGGCGGCAUGCCUAAUACAUGCAAGUCGAACGAAGUUUC
Molecule: ribosomal RNA, 77 nt
Filed under: [Clostridium] innocuum
Lineage: Bacteria; Bacillati; Bacillota; Clostridia; Eubacteriales; Clostridiaceae
Description: partial 16S ribosomal RNA
Rfam family: Bacterial small subunit ribosomal RNA
Source: RNAcentral